AAAAUCUGGCAAGAUAAGAAACAAGUUAUGGUUAUCUAGGUAUGUUAUUGUUGUUCUUAUAUUUAAAAAAUCCACCGUAGAUUUUGCUCUGUUUUGUAUCUAUCAUCGUUACCUUUAUUUUAUAUUUUUUAUUCAACUACUUCAGUACUACGACGAGUUAUUACGACUUUAUCAAUACAGUAGGUCGUAGAUUAUAUAGUAGUAAAACUGUGAUGUGUGUGUAUAUAUAUAUGUAUAUGACUUUGUGUUUAAAAAUAAUACAGAUAACUCAAAUUUUCAUCAUUUUUUAAUUAUUUUGGAUUGUUGCUAUCUUUUUCUGUAAGAAUAUUAUUCUUACUCAUACAUUUUGGUUUUUUCAGGAAAUUUUAUGCAUGUCAAUUUCCGUUGAAGCAUUCAUCAAGCAAUCGAAACAAAAAAUCAAUUAUUAAUUUUCUUUUUCAUGAAAUUGUUGAUAUCAUGCAACAACGUCCACGCUUUUAAGAUAUUAUUUCGCAGCCUGCUGGUGGAGGAGAUAUGCAACUACGUCCAUGCUCUUUUAUUUAUUCGAAGUGGGGCUUUUCUAUGUCGCCUCUACGUUAAUUAGCUGAGUAGUUCGCCUUACAAUGGAUUUUCAUAUGGACAUUUAAAGAAAAUAACAUGUAUCAAGUUUGAUCAUUUUGUAAGAUUGGAAGAUUUGAGAUUGUAAAAAAUAAGCUAUUCAAUAAAGCCAUGUGCAUUCAAUAAAGAUUUACAGGUACUUUAUCUACAUGUAUUGUCACAUAUAAUUGUUUCAUUCAAUUUUGAGACGAAAAUUGGUACAAGUUUGGUUAUAUUGCAAUGCAGACGCAGAAGAGGAGGAUGUUGGACUUUCAAGAUUCGUCCUUUUUUUUAUUUUCAUGUGUUGAUGGUUUUCUUGCUUCCAACAAAUUGAGGCAAGUUGAUUAUUUGAUUCGGCCUUUCCAGAAACCUACAUAUAGCGGAAGCUUAAUGCACGGAGCUAUUCUUGAGGCAAGUUGAUUAAUUUGUUAGUACUUUAGCAAUGUAUAAGAGGAUUAGGAGGAAUAACAAGGACCUUGAAAUAAUUUUGGCAAGAUAUAAUAUUUAAGAUACAAUAUUUAUUUAUAUAAUAUAAAUAG
Molecule: long non-coding RNA, 1115 nt
Filed under: Capsicum annuum
Lineage: Eukaryota; Viridiplantae; Streptophyta; Magnoliopsida; Solanales; Solanaceae
Description: long non-coding RNA (CANN_LNC006106)
Source: RNAcentral